Oncorhynchus masou masou (cherry salmon) is the source of this 575-nucleotide long non-coding RNA. RefSeq lists it as uncharacterized. NCBI's taxonomy places the organism in Eukaryota, Metazoa, Chordata, Actinopteri, Salmoniformes, Salmonidae. The transcript has 4 exons. The record is from RefSeq and is a predicted model, not a curated record.
AUCAUUUCCCCCGCACAGCCGACACGUAAACAAUUCAAACAAAAGUCAACGACAUAACCUAAACAAGAAAGAGAAUGCCUGGAUACCAUUUCUGAUGAAUUCAACUCAAAUGAAAAAGUCAACAAACUUCAGGUAGCAUUUCAAGACUGGUGGAAGACCCCCAGUAAGACCACAGACAGAUGAGCUGGGGGACUUUUAGCCGGGAUCAUUGAUAGCCAGCAACCCCUGGAAGAUAUCCCAGAUGAGGACCAUUUGGACAGUUCAGAUGGGGGACUGUUCCAAUCCUCAUUUGAGGCAGAUGAUCACCAUAGCUUGGAGGGGAGAAGACAGGACGAAGGUCAGGCCGCUACAUCUGCAGCAGACAGGAGAAGGAGAAGAUUGUGUCACUGACCCGAGCCAGAGGAUAAAGACAAAGAGGCUGAUCAUGCAUGACAAACUGGCCAUGGAAUUUCAGGAGCGGAAAUCCUUCAUGUUGAGUUGUCUAUGAAGGAGGAGGAGAAACAGGAAGCAGCAGCAGUACCAAUGUUCUUCUCAAACCAGCACCAGAUUGGUGUCCCGAUCUUUCCAUUUGUGAU